UGCCGCGAGAGGCGCCAGCGGUUGGUAGCCAGCCCGGCCUUGGGGCUGAGGCCAGGCCGGAGCACCCGUGGCCUGGCGGGGCGGGGCCGGGAGGGCAGGUGAGUUGGGGAGGAGACCCGGAGAGCUGCAGGAGGGUGACCACAAGGAGGCGUCCGGGGGAGGGAAGCCCCAGCCCAGCCCGGGCGGCGAGCACCGACCUGAUCCCGGGGAACCGGAGUCCGGCGGCGGCAGAAAAUGUGAUGACUGAUGACUCACUUCAGACGGAUUAUACCUGUAGGGAAACCCAAAUGUUCUUCUGCAGAACAUCAUGACCAUCACUUACUGAACUGCCUGCAUCAUACCCCUCUGAACUCGCGGUGAAGUGAGAAGGGGCCAGGGGAGGAGCUGCCUCUCCCAGCAACCUCAGAGCUCAUUUGGAACCAGUGGUGGAAUUCAGGCCACCUGAUGCCACUUCUCUACUUUUCCGUUCAGCCAUCAAGAGUCUUCAGUUUUAGAUA
Molecule: long non-coding RNA, 497 nt
Organism: Choloepus didactylus (southern two-toed sloth)
Lineage: Eukaryota; Metazoa; Chordata; Mammalia; Pilosa; Megalonychidae
Exons: 3
Source: RefSeq, a predicted model, not a curated record